Capsella rubella is the source of this 97-nucleotide small nucleolar RNA. It matches the Rfam family "Small nucleolar RNA snoR31/Z110/Z27". Rfam says of the family: This family contains several related snoRNAs including R31, Z27 and Z110. Family members belong to the C/D class of snoRNAs which contain the C (UGAUGA) and D (CUGA) box motifs. The record is from Rfam. NCBI's taxonomy places the organism in Eukaryota, Viridiplantae, Streptophyta, Magnoliopsida, Brassicales, Brassicaceae.
CUGAAGAAGUGAUGAGAAAUCAGAUAAAUCUUAGGACACCUUCUGACACAGAACUAACUCUCUGUGUAUGAGAAAGACAUCAUAUUCUGAUCUUCAG